Molecule: ribosomal RNA, 497 nt
Filed under: uncultured bacterium
Lineage: Bacteria
Description: partial 16S ribosomal RNA
Rfam family: Bacterial small subunit ribosomal RNA
Source: RNAcentral
GAUGAACGCUGGCGGCGUGCCUAAUACAUGCAAGUCGAGCGAACAGACGAGGAGCUUGCUCCUCUGACGUUAGCGGCGGACGGGUGAGUAACACGUGGAUAACCUACCUAUAAGACUGGGAUAACUUCGGGAAACCGGAGCUAAUACCGGAUAAUAUAUUGAACCGCAUGGUUCAAUAGUGAAAGACGGUUUUGCUGUCACUUAUAGAUGGAUCCGCGCCGCAUUAGCUAGUUGGUAAGGUAACGGCUUACCAAGGCAACGAUGCGUAGCCGACCUGAGAGGGUGAUCGGCCACACUGGAACUGAGACACGGUCCAGACUCCUACGGGAGGCAGCAGUAGGGAAUCUUCCGCAAAGGGCGAAAGCCUGACGGAGCAACGCCGCGUGAGUGAUGAAGGUCUUCGGAUCAUAAAACUCUGUUAUUAGGGAAGAACAAAUGUGUAAGUAACUAUGCACGUCUUGACGGUACCUAAUCAGAAAGCCACGGCUAACUACGUG